RNAcentral lists this ribosomal RNA (502 nucleotides) under uncultured bacterium. RNAcentral's name for it is "partial 16S ribosomal RNA". It matches the Rfam family "Bacterial small subunit ribosomal RNA", at positions 29 to 507 of the family's 1533-position model. The record is from RNAcentral.
AGCGAACGCUGGCGGCGUGCCUAACACAUGCAAGUCGAACGUGAAAGGGAGCAAUCCCAAGUAAAGUGGCGUACGGGUGAGUAACACGUAGGUAAUCUACCCCAGAAUCUGGAAUAACCGGCCGAAAGGCUGGCUAAUACUGUAUAGAGCGACGGAAUCCGUAAUUUGGUUUUUCUGGGAAGGGAUCCGGUAAAAAGGCCUUCGUUCUGGGAUGAGCCUGCGUCGCAUCAGCUAGGUGGUGAGGUAAAAGCUUACCAAGGCAAUGACGGGUAGCUGGUAGGAGAGGACGGUCGGCCAGACUGGAACUGAGACACGGUCCAGAGUCACACGGGAGGGAGCAGUGCGGCAUCUUGAGCAAUGGAUGAAAGUCAGAGCAAGAAACGCGGAGUGCGUGAAGAAGGACUUCGGGUUGUAAAGCUCUGUCGAGUGGGAGGAAACUGCUUGGAGCUCACAGGUACAGGAACUGACGGUAACAGUAAAGGAAGCACCGGCUAACUACGUG